AAUAUAUACCGUAUUAAAAAACAAAACUAAGUGCAAUGACCUUCAUACUCCUUCCUUUCACACAAAUUGGGACAUAAGGAGUGUUUAUUUAUCCAAAGUUGAACCCCCCUUUACAAAAAAUUUGCUACGUCACUGAUUGGAUCAUCUCAAUGCAAAAGUAUAAUUAUUCUAUAGAUAAUCUAGAUGCAGAGAAAGUAAUUUAAGACCGGACAUAUUUUCUUAUUUUAUAUAAUGUUCAACUUUGGUUAAAUGCAUCUACAAGGCC
Molecule: long non-coding RNA, 265 nt
Filed under: Solanum tuberosum (potato)
Lineage: Eukaryota; Viridiplantae; Streptophyta; Magnoliopsida; Solanales; Solanaceae
Description: long non-coding RNA (STUB_LNC007066)
Source: RNAcentral